CCUACGGGGGGCAGCAGUGGGGAAUAUUGCACAAUGGGCGCAAGCCUGAUGCAGCCAUGCCGCGUGUGUGAAGAAGGCCUUCGGGUUGUAAAGCACUUUCAGCGGGGAGGAAGGCGGUGAGGUUAAUAACCUCAUCGAUUGACGUUACCCGCAGAAGAAGCACCGGCUAACUCCGUGCCAGCAGCCGCGGUAAUACGGAGGGUGCAAGCGUUAAUCGGAAUUACUGGGCGUAAAGCGCACGCAGGCGGUCUGUCAAGUCGGAUGUGAAAUCCCCGGGCUCAACCUGGGAACUGCAUUCGAAACUGGCAGGCUAGAGUCUUGUAGAGGGGGGUAGAAUUCCAGGGGUAGCGGUGAAAUGCGUAGAGAUCUGGAGGAAUACCGGUGGCGAAGGCGGCCCCCUGGACAAAGACUGACGCUCAGGUGCGAAAGCGUGGGGAGCAAACAGGAUUAGAUACCCCGUAGUC
RNAcentral lists this ribosomal RNA (464 nucleotides) under uncultured Klebsiella sp. Its description in RNAcentral is "bacterial SSU rRNA". It matches the Rfam family "Bacterial small subunit ribosomal RNA", at positions 338 to 795 of the family's 1533-position model. Lineage: Bacteria; Pseudomonadati; Pseudomonadota; Gammaproteobacteria; Enterobacterales; Enterobacteriaceae. The record is from RNAcentral.